This 547-nucleotide long non-coding RNA is filed under the name Coturnix japonica (Japanese quail). RNAcentral describes it as "lncRNA (ENSCJPG00005016112.1)". The record is from RNAcentral. Lineage: Eukaryota; Metazoa; Chordata; Aves; Galliformes; Phasianidae.
GACUAACAUAGGUAAGACUUCAAAAGUUUCUGAAUUAUAGUCAUUCUUGCUUUUAACAUUGCUGGAUGGCCUCAAGUUCUUGAAGCUGCUUUGACUUCAACCUAGGGAUAGAUUUUGUGUAUUUUAACAGUACAGAGUGGGAGGUGUUUUUUCUGACAAUUAAAGUUUUCUUCUCACCCCUACCUUUCAGAGUCCUCCCUCACAGCCUACCACAUAGUCUACAGAGAAUAUCUGCUUUCACAGGCACUCAUUGAGCUGCAAAAAUUCACACCUCCAAUGGGUCUCCAGUCACUUUAGCUGGCUUUGUAGGGGAUGCACAUGGGAGCCCCCAAGCAGUCCCUCUGAUUGGAAUGGGACUAUGAAAAUGAGAGUAGAGACUUUGUUUGAUGUAUUAAAUGUGCAGAUGCACAAGCUCCCUGAAGGUGUAGAAUGGAGUAAAGAGGAAAAGGACGCUGAAUGAAGCAGCACAGAAGUUAUCCAGAAUUUCAGUUGCCAGUGGAAAUUACAGCUAAGAGAAGACUCUGCUAUUUUGUGAAAUACCUUCCUG